This is a small nuclear RNA of Apus apus (common swift), 107 nucleotides long. The record is from RefSeq and is a predicted model, not a curated record. Lineage: Eukaryota; Metazoa; Chordata; Aves; Apodiformes; Apodidae.
GUGCUCACUUUGGUAGCAUUUCUACUAAAAUUGGAAUGAUACAGUGAAUAUUAACAUGGCCCCUGUCUAAAGAUGACACACAAAUUUGUGAAGCAUUCAGUUUAUUG